GCGAGAGUGGCGGAAUUGGUAAACGCACUAGACUUAGGAUCUAGCGGAGCAUUCCUUAAGAGUUCGAGUCUCUUCUCUCGUACCA
RNAcentral lists this transfer RNA (85 nucleotides) under Desulfovibrio sp. RNAcentral's name for it is "tRNA-Leu". It matches the Rfam family "tRNA". From Rfam's summary of the family: Transfer RNA (tRNA) molecules are approximately 80 nucleotides in length. RNAcentral also lists the same sequence under 2 other names. Lineage: Bacteria; Pseudomonadati; Thermodesulfobacteriota; Desulfovibrionia; Desulfovibrionales; Desulfovibrionaceae. The record is from RNAcentral.